Long non-coding RNA from Homo sapiens (human), 634 nucleotides. Ensembl annotates it as PDE6B antisense RNA 1. Its record names the gene PDE6B-AS1. Lineage: Eukaryota; Metazoa; Chordata; Mammalia; Primates; Hominidae. The record is from Ensembl.
GCCCUGCCACCCUGACCCUGACUUGUGCUCAAGCCUGGCACCUGGAUCCUGGUUCCUGCUUGGGGCCUGGGGAUGGGGUCCCAAUAGGCUUAUGGGAUCACAGGGCCACUGGGCCACCAGCUGCCCCUCCCUUGGCUGGAGUCCUGCCCUGACCUCCGGACUGGAGUUCCCCUCCUCUUCCAGCCCCACGGGGCCAAGACUCGGCCUCCUGGCUGGAGGCUCCACUGUCUGGGUGGGGCUGGUGGUGCCAGGGUCAAAUCCUGGGGCCUUCAUGCUCAAUUGUUGCUGACGAGGCCGCCUGGACAGCUUGCCUGGUCCCCUGUAUGUCCACUCUGGAUGUCCACAGUGACUCGGGCUCCUCAGCAGCCCACGUCCUCCUCACCAUCUCCCAGAACAGAGGCCCACGGAGUACCGCUCGCAGUUGAGGUAGGCCCGCACCGUGUAGAAGGCCUUGUGGAACUGCCUCUCGAUGUCCGUCAGCUCCUCAAACACCUUGUUGGCCGACCACAGCAGCACCUGGAGGGAGGGGCACACCUGUGGGCCUGUGGCCACUCCCACCCUCACGCCGGUCUGACCACAGCAGCAGGGGUUUAACUCAAGCCUGACACAGGUGCGCUCCCUGAUCUGACCACCU